RNAcentral lists this ribosomal RNA (255 nucleotides) under Klebsiella pneumoniae. Its description in RNAcentral is "partial 16S ribosomal RNA". It matches the Rfam family "Bacterial small subunit ribosomal RNA", at positions 345 to 592 of the family's 1533-position model. RNAcentral also lists the same sequence under 1 other name. Lineage: Bacteria; Pseudomonadati; Pseudomonadota; Gammaproteobacteria; Enterobacterales; Enterobacteriaceae. The record is from RNAcentral.
GAGGCAGCAGUGGGGAAUAUUGCACAAUGGGCGCAAGCCUGAUGCAGCCAUGCCGCGUGUGUGAAGAAGGCCUUCGGGUUGUAAAGCACUUUCAGCGGGGAGGAAGGCGUUAAGGUUAAUAACCUUGGCGAUUGACGUUACCCGCAGAAGAAGCACCGGCUAACUCCGUGCCAGCAGCCGCGGUAAUACGGAGGGUGCAAGCGUUAAUCGGAAUUACUGGGCGUAAAGCGCACGCAGGCGGUCUGUCAAGUCGGA